Molecule: long non-coding RNA, 475 nt
Organism: Oncorhynchus gorbuscha (pink salmon)
Lineage: Eukaryota; Metazoa; Chordata; Actinopteri; Salmoniformes; Salmonidae
Exons: 3
Source: RefSeq, a predicted model, not a curated record
GAGACUCGGCGCACUGACAGAGGUGGGCGGGGAGGAGUAGAACUCUGUCCCCUGAUAUUUUUAUCCAUCCAUCAAAUAUAACUAUAAGGCUCAUCACCCCACUCUUCCUUCUCUCCUGCCCUCCCUGCGGACAUGGCCACGGUCCUUAUCAAAUGCACUCCCCCUGGAGAACCAACCCUACACCAGAGAUUGAACGGGCCUCCUUGAUGUGUCCUCUCCAACCCCACUUGGUUCUCAGCUCAACAGGCUUAAACCACAGGAUGUCAUCUACCAGAGAGAAAAGAGCAGAGGUCAGUUCAAAUGAAGAUACAUCAUGUAAACCACAGGUGAGUCAGAGCCAUUUCCUACAUCGCCACAUUGGUAGUACGACAGAAGUUGUGUGCCAAAUGGUACAGAUUCUCUAUAUAGUGCACUACCUAUGGGCCCUGGUCAAAAGUAGUGCACUAUCAAAGGAAUGGGGUGCCAUUUGCAACAG